GUGGGGAAUCUUAGACAAUGGGGGAAACCCUGAUCUAGCCAUGCCGCGUGAGCGAUGAAGGCCUUAGGGUUGUAAAGCUCUUUCAGCUGGGAAGAUAAUGACGGUACCAGCAGAAGAAGCCCCGGCUAACUCCGUGCCAGCAGCCGCGGUAAUACGGAGGGGGCUAGCGUUGUUCGGAAUUACUGGGCGUAAAGCGCGCGUAGGCGGACCAGAAAGUUGGAGGUGAAAUCCCAGGGCUCAACCUUGGAACUGCCUUCAAAACUCCUGGUCUGGAGUUCGAGAGAGGUGAGUGGAAUGCCGAGUGUAGAGGUGAAAUUCGUAGAUAUUCGGAGGAACACCAGUGGCGAAGGCGGCUCACUGGCUCGAUACUGACGCUGAGGUGCGAAAGCGUGGGGAGCAAACAGGAUUAGAAACCCCAGUAGUCC
This 425-nucleotide ribosomal RNA is filed under the name uncultured bacterium. Its description in RNAcentral is "partial 16S ribosomal RNA". It matches the Rfam family "Bacterial small subunit ribosomal RNA", at positions 354 to 796 of the family's 1533-position model. The record is from RNAcentral.